This 478-nucleotide ribosomal RNA is filed under the name uncultured bacterium. Its description in RNAcentral is "partial 16S ribosomal RNA". It matches the Rfam family "Bacterial small subunit ribosomal RNA", at positions 28 to 523 of the family's 1533-position model. The record is from RNAcentral.
GACGAACGCUGGCGGCGUGCUUAACACAUGCAAGUCGAACGGUAAGGCCCUUCGGGGUACACGGGUGGCGAACGGGUGAGUAACACGUGGGUGAUCUGCCCUGCACUUCGGGAUAAGCCUGGGAAACUGGGUCUAAUACCGGAUAGGACUCCGGACUGCAUGGUCUGGGGUGGAAAGCUUUUGCGGUGUGGGAUGGGCCCGCGGCCUAUCAGCUUGGUGGUGGGGUGAUGGCCUACCAAGGCGACGACGGGUAGCCGGCCUGAGAGGGUGACCGGCCACACUGGGACUGAGAUACGGCCCAGACUCCUACGGGAGGCAGCAGUGGGGAAUAUUGCACAAUGGGCGCAAGCCUGAUGCAGCGACGCCGCGUGAGGGAUGACGGCCUUCGGGUUGUAAACCUCUUUCAGCAUCGACGAAGCGAAAGUGACGGUAGGUGCAGAAGAAGGACCGGCCAACUACGUGCCAGCCGCCGCGGUAA